GAGCAAUGAUGAGUUCCUGUUUGCCUGACUGCCAAAAUGAAGGCUUCUACACUUGAACUGAGCUCA
This 66-nucleotide small nucleolar RNA is filed under the name Anas platyrhynchos platyrhynchos (common mallard). RNAcentral describes it as "Small nucleolar RNA U2-30 (ENSAPLG00000000512.2)". The record is from RNAcentral. Lineage: Eukaryota; Metazoa; Chordata; Aves; Anseriformes; Anatidae.